RNAcentral lists this ribosomal RNA (375 nucleotides) under uncultured eukaryote. RNAcentral's name for it is "partial 18S ribosomal RNA". It matches the Rfam family "Eukaryotic small subunit ribosomal RNA", at positions 592 to 976 of the family's 1831-position model. The record is from RNAcentral.
CAAUAGCGUAUAUUUAAGUUGUUGCAGUUAAAAAGCUCGUAGUUGGAUUUCGGUUAAGAGCGACCGGUCCGCCGUUUGGUGUGCACUGGUUGGUUUUAACUUCCUGUAGAGGACGUGCUCUGGGUUUAACGACCUGGACUCGGAGUCUACGUGGUUACUUUGAAAAAAUUAGAGUGUUCAAAGCGGGCUUACGCUUGAAUAUUUCAGCAUGGAAUAACACUAUAGGACUCCUGUCCUAUUUCGUUGGUCUCGGGACGGGAGUAAUGAUUAAGAGGAACAGUUGGGGGCAUUCGUAUUUCAUUGUCAGAGGUGAAAUUCUUGGAUUUAUGAAAGACGAACUUCUGCGAAAGCAUUUGCCAAGGAUGUUUNCAUUAG